Molecule: long non-coding RNA, 478 nt
Organism: Empidonax traillii (willow flycatcher)
Lineage: Eukaryota; Metazoa; Chordata; Aves; Passeriformes; Tyrannidae
Exons: 3
Source: RefSeq, a predicted model, not a curated record
UCCAGGCAGAUGAUCUUUGUGUUACUGGAUCUCUACACCACCAGCUGGGACUGAAAAAAGAGAUGGCAUGGCUUUUCUCUGGGAACAGGGGGUGUGUGUGCACACCAAAAAGCACCAAGGGGGAACCGGAGCCUUGGCGGAUCCAGGAGGGUGCCCAGAGCAGCUCUGCAAGCAAAGUUACUGCCUUCACUCCUCUGUCAUCACCAGUCCCUGAGAGCAAUCACCACCCACCAACAGUUCCUUGAGAUAAGCCCGAGCCAGCUGGGAGAAGAAAGCCUUUGAUAUUCCCCUGCCUUGCUGACUGCGUUUCUCACAGCUCACUCUCGGAAUGGACCAGCAGAGGUGACUGGGCAUGAAAGAAUAACACUGAUGGAAGGUGUGCGUGGAAGGUGCUAAUCUUUUGCCAUGUGUAUGGGUAUGUAAUCACUUAGCAGAUAAUCUCAGAUUCUGAAAAGGCAGCCAUUCAUUUUAAAACAAA